UUUUUCGUCGAUGUUCACAGAAUGUUUACCUCGUGACGUCAAGGUUAGUUAUCGCAGCUGUACAAAUCUUUUUUCGCGUGAAAUACAUAUUCGUGCAACGUGUCUACUGUUCGAGGAAAUCGAGCGAGUGACGUGCAGUAAUGAGAUAAAAACGAGACUAACUAGAAGAUUCUGUCCAGUCGUUCUCGAGUUUAGCAACAAUUUGUAAAACACGAUUUUAUCAUAACCCUCUUGCACUAAUAUAAUAUUUAACAACAA
Melitaea cinxia (Glanville fritillary) is the source of this 258-nucleotide long non-coding RNA. RefSeq lists it as uncharacterized. The record is from RefSeq and is a predicted model, not a curated record. Lineage: Eukaryota; Metazoa; Arthropoda; Insecta; Lepidoptera; Nymphalidae. The transcript has 2 exons.